This 369-nucleotide ribosomal RNA is filed under the name uncultured bacterium. Its description in RNAcentral is "bacterial SSU rRNA". It matches the Rfam family "Bacterial small subunit ribosomal RNA", at positions 528 to 896 of the family's 1533-position model. The record is from RNAcentral.
GUAGGUGCGAACGUUAUCCGGAAUUAUUGGGCGUAAAGGAUGCGUAGAUGGUGUAGUAAGUUAUCGGUGGCAAAUCGAGGCUCAACCUCGUGGAAGUCGGUAAUACUGCUAUGCUAGAGGAUAGGAGAGGUUAACGGAACUCCCUGUGGAGCGGUGAAAUGCGUAGAUAUAGGGAAGAACACCAAUCAGGCGAAGGCAGUUAACUAUUCUAUUCCUGACAUUGAGGCAUGAAAGCGUGGGGAGCAAAACGGAUUAGAUACCCGUGUAGUCCACGCCCUAAACGAUGAGUGCUAGAUGUUGGACUUUUCAGUUCAGUGUCGCUAGGUAACCCGGUAAGCACUCCGCCUGGGUAGUACGCUCGCAAGAGUG